UACGUAGGGUGCAAGCGUUGUCCGGAAUUACUGGGCGUAAAGAGCUCGUAGGCGGUUUGUCGCGUUGUCCGUGAAAACUCACAGCUUAACUGUGGGCGUGCGGGCGAUACUGGCAGACUGGAGUACUGCAGGGGAGACUGGAAUUCCUGGUGUAGCGGUGGAAUGCGCAGAUAUCAGGAGGAACACCGGUGGCGAAGGCGGGUCUCUGGGCAGUAACUGACGCUGAGGAGCGAAAGCGUGGGGAGCGAACAGG
RNAcentral lists this ribosomal RNA (253 nucleotides) under uncultured bacterium. RNAcentral's name for it is "partial 16S ribosomal RNA". It matches the Rfam family "Bacterial small subunit ribosomal RNA", at positions 524 to 776 of the family's 1533-position model. The record is from RNAcentral.